GUCUUUUUGAAUUUAAUUUAAAGUCUAAUCUGCCCACUGAUUGAUUUAAAGGGCCGCAGUAUAUUAACUGUGCAAAGGUAGCAUAAUCAUUAGUCUUUUAAUUGGAGGCUUGUAUGAAUGAUUGGACGAGAUAUUGACUGUUUCAAAUAAAUUUUUAUAGAAUUUUAUUUUUUAGUUAAAAAGCUAAAAUAAUUUUAAAAGACGAGAAGACCCUAUAGAUCUUUAUAUUUAUAAUAUUUUAUUUUAUAAGAAUUAAUUUAAAUAAUAUAUUAAAUAAUAUUUUGUUGGGGUGAUAUUGAAAUUUAAAAAACUUUCAAUUUUAAUAAAACAAAAAUUAUUGAAUUUUUUUUGAUCCUUUAUUAUUGAUAAAAAAUUCAAGUUACCUUAGGGAUAACAGCGUAAUUAUUUUGGAGAGUUCUUAUCGAUAAAAUAGAUUGCGACCUCGAUGUUGGAUUAAGAUUAAUUCUAGGCGUAGCAGUUUAGUAUAUUAAGUCUGUUCGACUUUUAAAUUCUU
Molecule: ribosomal RNA, 514 nt
Filed under: Chrysotus gramineus
Lineage: Eukaryota; Metazoa; Arthropoda; Insecta; Diptera; Dolichopodidae
Description: partial 16S ribosomal RNA
Rfam family: Bacterial large subunit ribosomal RNA
Source: RNAcentral